RNAcentral lists this ribosomal RNA (402 nucleotides) under uncultured bacterium. Its description in RNAcentral is "bacterial SSU rRNA". It matches the Rfam family "Bacterial small subunit ribosomal RNA", at positions 356 to 773 of the family's 1533-position model. The record is from RNAcentral.
GAGGAAUAUUGGGCAAUGGGGGAAACCCUGACCCAGCAACGCCGCGUGAAGGAAGAAGGCCUUCGGGUUGUAAACUUCUGUGACAGGGGACGAAGAAAUGACGGUACCCUGAGAGGAAGCCACGGCAAACUACGUGCCAGCAGCCGCGGUAAUACGUAGGUGGCGAGCGUUGUCCGGAAUCACUGGGCGUAAAGGGCGCGUAGGCGGCGAAGCAAGUCGCAUGUGAAAGACCAGGGCUCAACCCUGGGAGGUCAUGCGAAACUGUUUUGCUUGAGUGCAGUAGAGGGAAGCGGAAUUCCUGGUGUAGCGGUAAAAUGCGUAGAGAUCAGGAGGAACACCGGUGGCGAAGGCGGCUUCCUGGGCUGUAACUGACGCUGAUGCGCGAAAGCGUGGGGAGCAAAC